Molecule: long non-coding RNA, 383 nt
Organism: Bradysia coprophila
Lineage: Eukaryota; Metazoa; Arthropoda; Insecta; Diptera; Sciaridae
Source: RefSeq, a predicted model, not a curated record
AGUAUAAAAGGACAGAUUUUGUAUUCGUUUUAUUCAGUUACAAAUCAUCUUGGAACAGAAUGAAAUACUUCUUCAUCGUUUUAAUUGCGUUUAUCGCAUUCCAAUAUGUCAGCGCUGGUUUGGGAGGGGCUGGAAUAGACUCUAACAGUUGGGCGAAUGGAAUAGACCUUAUCGGCUCGUUGCCAGUGAAUGUGAAUAUUGGAGAAUGUGAUGAAAUUUUGGAUGGAAUUUUCUGUAUCGUCGGCGGCGUGGUACAUUCAAUACUUGAACCAAUACUUUGAUCGAAGUAGGACUUUAACGUUAACUUCAUCAAUCGAAUUUGUUACGAGUUAUUUUAACGACCAAAUCGAUUGUUAUAAAAUAAAGGAAAAUCGUAAUUAGAA